ACAUAGCGUUCAUAUUUAUAGGUAACAGGAAACCCUAACGUAUAGAAGGAAACAACUCAAACAAAAAAAGGAAACUUAAAAACAAGAAACAAAGAAACACGCUUGAACCAAAAAAAACUAACGAGAAAAACAAUUCCAAAAGCGUCAGGGCUGGAACUCGCCAGCUUAGCUCUGCCCUGGACUUCAGUUCUGCUCUGGAAAGUCCAUUCCUCUGCUCUGGAAAUUCCGCUCUGCUCUGGAAAGUCCGCU
RNAcentral lists this long non-coding RNA (249 nucleotides) under Salvia miltiorrhiza (redroot sage). RNAcentral describes it as "long non-coding RNA (SMIL_LNC004128)". Lineage: Eukaryota; Viridiplantae; Streptophyta; Magnoliopsida; Lamiales; Lamiaceae. The record is from RNAcentral.